GCCUCACACGGUCCUCGGAUUUCAACCCUGUAGUGGGGAAAGCCUAGACGUCCCAAAUGGAUAUUGUUGCCACUGAUGCUUAUUUCACAGCUUGUUUCCACACCUGGGCACCAUGGCUCAACUACAAUGGCUACGGAUGGAUUCCUUUUUUAAAACAUGAUGAACGUUGAAGAAGAAGAAAAAUGGCACUCAUAUGGCAAAUUAGUUAAUUGAUAUGGUCUAAUGAUCA
Molecule: long non-coding RNA, 229 nt
Filed under: Elaeis guineensis (African oil palm)
Lineage: Eukaryota; Viridiplantae; Streptophyta; Magnoliopsida; Arecales; Arecaceae
Description: long non-coding RNA (EGUI_LNC029030)
Source: RNAcentral